UAGGCGCACGGGUGAGUAACACGUAGGUAAUGUGCCUUUUGGGUGGGGAAUAACUUAGGGAAACUUAAGCUAAUACCGCAUAAUGCGAUAACUUCUUCGGAAGAUUUUGUUAAAGAUUUAUCGCCUGAAGAGCAGCCUGCGGCAGGAUUAGCUAGUUGGUAAGGUAACGGCUUACCAAGGCUACGAUCUGUAUCCGACCUGAGAGGGUGGUCGGACACACUGACACUGAAUAACGGGUCAG
This 241-nucleotide ribosomal RNA is filed under the name uncultured bacterium. RNAcentral's name for it is "partial 16S ribosomal RNA". It matches the Rfam family "Bacterial small subunit ribosomal RNA", at positions 95 to 334 of the family's 1533-position model. The record is from RNAcentral.